ACUUAAAUAGCUUAUACUCCUAAAGCCUUUCUUUGAAGAAGAAAAAAAGGAAUCCCCUUUAAGUA
RNAcentral lists this transfer RNA (65 nucleotides) under Mesobuthus gibbosus (Mediterranean checkered scorpion). RNAcentral's name for it is "transfer RNA-Phe". The record is from RNAcentral. Lineage: Eukaryota; Metazoa; Arthropoda; Arachnida; Scorpiones; Buthidae.